RNAcentral lists this ribosomal RNA (245 nucleotides) under uncultured bacterium. RNAcentral's name for it is "partial small subunit ribosomal RNA". It matches the Rfam family "Bacterial small subunit ribosomal RNA", at positions 26 to 285 of the family's 1533-position model. The record is from RNAcentral.
AGAAUCAACGCUGGCGGCGUGCCUAACACAUGCAAGUCGCACGAGAAAGUGGAGCAAUCCAUGAGUAAAGUGGCGCACGGGUGAGUAACACGUGAAUGAUCUACCUCCGAGUGGGGAAUAACUGAGAGAAAUCUUAGCUAAUACCGCAUAAUACCCACGGGUCAAAGCAGCAAUGCGCUUGGAGAGGAGUUCGCGGCCGAUUAGCUAGUUGGCGGGGUAAUGGCCCACCAAGGCAAUGAUCGGCA